GCCCUGGUGGCGAAAUUGGUAGACGCAAGGGACUUAAAAUCCCUCGCCUUAACGGGCGUGCCGGUUCGAUUCCGGCCCAGGGCACCA
This 87-nucleotide transfer RNA is filed under the name Leucothrix arctica. Its description in RNAcentral is "Leucothrix sp. IMCC9719 tRNA-Leu". It matches the Rfam family "tRNA". From Rfam's summary of the family: Transfer RNA (tRNA) molecules are approximately 80 nucleotides in length. Their secondary structure includes four short double-helical elements and three loops (D, anti-codon, and T loops). Further hydrogen bonds mediate the characteristic L-shaped molecular structure. tRNAs have two regions of fundamental functional importance: the anti-codon, which is responsible for specific mRNA codon recognition, and the 3' end, to which the tRNAs corresponding amino acid is attached (by aminoacyl-tRNA synthetases). tRNAs cope with the degeneracy of the genetic code in two manners: having more than one tRNA (with a specific anti-codon) for a particular amino acid; and 'wobble' base-pairing, i.e. permitting non-standard base-pairing at the 3rd anti-codon position. The record is from RNAcentral. Lineage: Bacteria; Pseudomonadati; Pseudomonadota; Gammaproteobacteria; Thiotrichales; Thiotrichaceae.